UACGGAGGGCGCAAGCGUUGUUCGGAAUCACUGGGCGUAAAGCGCGUGCAGGCGGCUUGGCAAGUCGGGUGUGAAAGCCCGGGGCCCAACCCCGGAACGGCAUCCGAAACUGCCUCGCUCGAGUCCCGGAGAGGGUGGCGGAAUUUCCGGUGUAGAGGUGAAAUUCGUAGAUAUCGGAAGGAACACCAGUGGCGAAGGCGGCCACCUGGACGGUGACUGACGCUGAGACGCGAAAGCGUGGGGAGCAAACAGG
This 253-nucleotide ribosomal RNA is filed under the name uncultured bacterium. RNAcentral's name for it is "partial 16S ribosomal RNA". It matches the Rfam family "Bacterial small subunit ribosomal RNA", at positions 524 to 776 of the family's 1533-position model. The record is from RNAcentral.